UACGGGGGGGGCAAGCGUUGUUCGGAAUUACUGGGCGUAAAGGGCUCGUAGGUGGCCAACUAAGUCAGACGUGAAAUCCCUCGGCUUAACCGGGGAACUGCGUCUGAUACUGGAUGGCUUGAGUUUGGGAGAGGGAUGCGGAAUUCCAGGUGUAGCGGUGAAAUGCGUAGAUAUCAGGAGGAACACCGGUGGCGAAGGCGCUCAUCUGGCCCAAUACUGACGCUGAUGCGCGAAAGCUAGGGGAGCAAACGGG
This 253-nucleotide ribosomal RNA is filed under the name uncultured bacterium. RNAcentral describes it as "partial 16S ribosomal RNA". It matches the Rfam family "Bacterial small subunit ribosomal RNA", at positions 524 to 776 of the family's 1533-position model. The record is from RNAcentral.